UUCAUACGCGUUCCCUCGAGCCCGUCGACCAAGUCCUUUUCUCGCACAAAUUUUCCCCCCCGUUCCUUCUUUAUUCCUCGCGAUUCUACCACCACCACCACCACCACCACCGACGACACCAACCACCACCAUCGCACCGUUAACCCCUCUCUUUUCCCCUUCGGGUGCUCUGUCGUAUCUUUUCACUCCUGUUGUCUGGAUUCUCAGUACGUUUUCUCGGUGUCGUCCCGGCGGCGAUCUCGGUUCGAACGAAACCUCUGGGGGCCGCGUAUAUUUUUGUGCGUUGCGCAGGGUCUCGUUCGAUCGCACGCGCGAAACGAAACAACAGAGCCCGACCGAAGUUUCUCUUUCGAAAUCUCUCUCCGUUGCUUUUCUUUUUUUUCCCCUCCCCUCACCGCAUCUUGUAGAUCUCGAAACGACGCGCGUGAUAUCCGGGGAAUCGUGUUUCCUUUUUUCGAUUUUCUUUCUUUUUUUUCGUUUUUUUUCACCUCCUAUUCCUUUUCGACGAUCUUUCAUCGCGGUCGUGAUCGUCCAGGCAGCAGCGGCGACAAGCGGCAACCGCCCGCAACACCGAACGGAACGGGCGUCCGUGACACGAUCCAGGGAAUCGAGCGAUUCCGUUGUUCGUGGUUGCAAAUACGACGAGUGGUCCGAAAGCGCGAAUAAAUGUGUCGGUCACGGUACAAGACGUGAAGCGGGGGCAUACACGGCAAGUGAGUAUAUUUUUAGUGGCAAGCGCCAAGCGCUAAGCAGAGUGGUAUAAACGGGGCGCGCAGUGGCCUGAUGAAGCGGCGUAUGUGACAUCAAAUUUCUCUCUCUUGCCACCUCGAAGACACCGAGACAUCUUGCAGACCAUCCCGCGCUGUUGGUUCUCCAAUUACCUGGAGGCCAGUGGUGUCAGUGACACCAGAGAAUAAUACGAGCUGCUAGCGUGAAGAAGUAUAGUAGAGUUGGCUUAGGCCAACACCGGUGGACCAGGCAAAAUGGCAACAAUAGAUGGCCGACCAGCCCAAUAUGGUAUCACUCUCAAGCAACUUCGUGAGCUCAUGGAGCUCAGAGGACGCGAAGGUGUCAAUAAAAUCAAUAGUUAUGGUGGUGUGCAGGAGAUUUGUAAAAAGCUAUAUACUUCACCUAACGAAGGUCUUAGUGGAUCGGCGGCAGAUAUCCAACAUAGACGUGACACAUUUGGUUCCAAUAUGAUACCUCCAAAACCACCAAAAACGUUUCUACAAUUAGUAUGGGAAGCUUUGCAAGAUGUAACAUUAAUCAUCUUAGAAGUUGCGGCAUUGGUUUCGUUAGGUCUUAGCUUUUAUCACCCAUCAGAUGAAGAAGACGACGAAGAACACGUGUCGAUAGAUGAAGAUGAAGCAAAAUACGGUUGGAUCGAAGGACUUGCUAUAUUGAUUUCUGUAAUUGUGGUCGUAUUAGUAACCGCUUUCAAUGACUAUUCUAAAGAAAGACAAUUCAGGGGUCUCCAAAGUCGAAUAGAAGGGGAACAUAAAUUUUCUGUCAUUCGACAAGGAGAGGUUAAACAGAUCUCUGUAUCUGACAUUGCUGUGGGUGACAUAUGUCAGAUAAAAUAUGGAGACCUGCUGCCUGCAGAUGGUAUCCUUAUACAAAGCAACGAUCUCAAGGUGGAUGAAUCCAGUUUAACCGGGGAAUCGGACCAUGUUAAAAAGGGAGAAUCGUUCGAUCCCAUGGUACUCUCAGGUACACACGUGAUGGAGGGCUCUGGAAAAAUGUUAGUUACCGCAGUAGGUGUUAACUCACAGGCUGGUAUUAUCUUCACUUUGUUGGGUGCUGCUGUUGAUCAGCAAGAGCAAGAAAUCAAGAAGAUGAAGAAAGAGGCUAAGAAGCAGCGGAAGAAGAAGUCAUUAACAGGGGACGAAGCUGUAGAGAUAACUGGAAACAGUCACGUGAGCGGAGGUGCGAAACACGAGGGCGGAGAGAACCAUCAGGCACCGAGUCACGGAGGUGGUGGAGAAGGGAAGAAAGAAAAGAGUGUUCUUCAAGCCAAGCUAACUAAACUCGCCAUACAAAUCGGUUAUGCCGGCUCGACCAUAGCAGUGCUUACCGUUGUCAUUCUAGUCAUUCAGUUCUGCGUAACGACGUUUGUCAUAGAGAAGAAACCUUGGAAAAAUACGUACGCUAAUGAUCUGGUGCGGCAUUUGAUCAUUGGUGUAACGGUACUCGUAGUCGCCGUUCCCGAAGGUCUUCCUCUAGCUGUCACCUUGUCUCUCGCUUAUUCAGUUAAGAAAAUGAUGAAAGACAACAAUUUGGUGCGACAUUUGGAUGCCUGCGAAACGAUGGGUAACGCAACAGCAAUUUGUUCGGACAAGACUGGUACCCUGACUACCAACCGGAUGACGGUCGUUCAGUCGUACAUAUGCGAGAAGAUGAGCAAGACGAUUCCAAAGUUCUCGGAUAUACCGAGCCACGUUGGGAACCUGAUAGUUCAAGCUAUCUCUAUUAAUUCGGCGUACACAUCCAGAAUAAUGCCCUCGCAGGAUCCUACAGAGUUGCCGCUUCAAGUCGGCAAUAAAACCGAAUGUGCCUUACUUGGAUUCGUAGUAGCCCUGGGCAUGAACUAUCAGACGAUACGAGACGAUCAACCUGAGGAAACCUUUACGCGGGUGUACACGUUCAAUAGCGUUAGGAAGAGCAUGUCUACCGUCGUCCCGAGGAAAGGUGGUGGAUAUAGGCUCUUCACCAAGGGCGCUUCCGAGAUCAUUAUGAAGAAAUGUGCCUUUAUAUAUGGUCGCGAAGGUCAUUUGGAGAAAUUUACCAGAGAGAUGCAGGACCGUCUGGUAAAGAACGUAAUCGAGCCAAUGGCGUGCGACGGACUUCGUACCAUCUCCGUCGCUUAUCGUGACUUCGUUCCUGGCAAGGCAGAGAUCAAUCAGGUUCACAUCGACAACGAGCCAAAUUGGGACGACGAGGAGAACAUAGUGAACAAUCUAACGUGUCUGUGCAUCGUUGGUAUCGAGGAUCCGGUACGUCCGGAGGUGCCGGACGCGAUUAGAAAGUGUCAGAAGGCGGGUAUCACUGUGCGAAUGGUGACGGGAGACAAUAUAAACACUGCACGUUCGAUCGCUCUGAAAUGUGGCAUCCUGAAGCCGAACGAGGACUUCCUUAUCUUGGAGGGUAAAGAGUUCAACAGGAGGAUCAGAGAUAGCAACGGUGAAGUACAACAGCAUCUUUUGGACAAAGUGUGGCCAAAGUUGAGGGUGUUGGCUAGAUCCUCGCCGACAGACAAAUACACCCUGGUUAAGGGUAUAAUCGAUAGUAAAGCGACCGUCAGUCGCGAGGUCGUUGCCGUUACCGGCGACGGUACGAACGACGGUCCAGCUUUGAAGAAAGCUGACGUCGGUUUCGCCAUGGGUAUCGCCGGUACCGACGUAGCAAAGGAAGCUUCCGAUAUUAUUCUAACGGACGAUAAUUUCUCGUCGAUCGUGAAAGCAGUUAUGUGGGGUAGAAACGUCUACGAUAGUAUAGCAAAGUUCUUGCAGUUUCAGCUGACUGUCAAUGUCGUCGCUGUUAUAGUUGCUUUUAUCGGGGCAUGUGCCGUGCAAGAUUCCCCCCUUAAAGCGGUGCAGAUGUUGUGGGUGAAUUUAAUCAUGGACACGUUAGCGUCUCUCGCAUUGGCCACCGAAUUGCCUACGUCUGAUCUUCUUCUCCGCAGACCGUACGGUCGCACGAAACCGCUCAUCUCCAGGACAAUGAUGAAGAACAUUCUCGGUCAAGCUGUCUAUCAGUUGACCGUCAUUUUUAUGCUUCUUUUCGUUGGUGAUAAGAUGCUCGACAUCGAAACAGGCCGAGGUGUAGCACAGGCUGGCGGCGGUCCCACGCAGCACUUCACCGUCAUCUUCAACACGUUCGUCAUGAUGACUCUUUUCAACGAAUUUAACGCCAGGAAAAUCCAUGGUCAGCGUAAUGUCUUCCAAGGAAUAUUCACCAACCCCAUCUUUUAUUCUAUCUGGGUCGGCACGUGUUUGUCACAGGUACUUAUCAUACAGUACGGUAAAAUGGCGUUCAGCACGAAAGCUCUCACAUUAGAACAAUGGAUGUGGUGCCUGUUCUUCGGAGUCGGUACUCUAUUGUGGGGCCAAAUAAUUACGACAAUUCCUACGCGCAAGAUUCCUAAAAUCCUUUCAUGGGGCCGCGGCCAGCCGGAUGAUAUCGGUGUGAUCAAUCUCGGAGAUGAGAAAUUCGACCCUGACUCGGAUAAAAAGCCGCGCACAGGACAAAUUCUAUGGAUCCGUGGUCUAACGCGACUACAGACACAGCUUCGAGUAAUCAGAGCGUUCAAGUCGACUCUGGAAGAUUUGGAGGAGCGACGCUCUGUCCAUAGUUUACACAGCUUACACAGUAUGCGCAGCUCACGCAGCCACACCGGGCCCCGACCACUCUCUGACUUCACAUACAUUGACGAAGACCCGACAAACACCGCGCUGAACGCUGGCAAGUUGCCUAACAAGAGCGCCGAUCAGAAUCUCCUGGUGGACCAUUCAGCAGCAGCCAGGAUGCAGUCGGCUAACAACUUGACGUCGCCGUUGUUGCUCACCGUUACUGGAUCAGCCAACGCGUACAACCAUCAUAAUACCAUUAACACCACCAAUGACAAUAGAUCCUCGUCCAAUAGCGCCCUAAACCAGGCCCUGAGCCCCAACCAUACGCAGAUGCAGAGUAGCAACAGCAACAACAAAGACAGCAACACAGGAAACUCCCUGCUUCUCAGCUCCAAUAAUCUGGCUCUCCCGGAAUUGACGAAGCUCGUGCAUGAGACCAGCAUUUAAAGGCAGCUUUGCGUGUCGCCACUCUACACCCCCCUUUAGCCCUCUACCCCAUCUUCUCACAUUACUACUCUUUCUAACUUUCUAUCGAUCUUUGUCGCUUUUCAUUUUACUUUUCAUUUUCUCUCCCUCUCUCUCUCUCUCUCUCUCUCUCCCUCCCUUUCUCUUCCUUGAUUUUUCUUUUCUCCACAGAUCAUCUGUUACCUCUGUUUCAUGGCAACAAAGUGUCUUGUCUCUUUUAGUCGCGACUCUUCAUGGUCGUUCGAUGAUACUCAAUUAACUUGUCGCAGAUUUUAUUUUUUUACUUCUUGUAUUUUAACGCGAUUGCUUGCUCGAGAUGUAUCACCAGUCUUUUUUAUUUUAUUAGACUAUCGACAUUCUCUGUCCACAUUGGACGCUGUACAGUGUUAUUUACCCGCUUCUUGUACUCCGAAAGUCCAAAGGGACGUUUGUAGUUGUUUCUUACUCUUUGCAUUUUAACUGAUUACCUAACGAAGAGGAAGUUUCCUCCUGUUCUUCAAUUUUAUUCUGUGGAAAAAAUUUUAUUUCCUACUCUUGCUCUCAGAGACUUUUACUUUUAUCCCGAGGACCGUCAGUUUCUGUUUCUCUUGCUCUGAGGGACUUUUUUAAUUCGUCGUUCACUCCAUCCUCAUCUGCUUCUGGGAGAAAGAGAGAGAGCUACAAGUACUUAAGGCUCGUUUGGGAGACAGAGUACUGUUUCACGCGAGCUUCUAUCCGAAGUGAACAUAGUAUACCAGCUUUGAAAAUGUUCGUCUAGCAUGAAUUUCAAUAUAUUAGACUGCUUGUUCAGCUUCCCUCUUGUUCCUUGUCUGGGGACCGAGUAUCUUCAUUCUUAUUCAGGUGUAAUUAUUGCUCUGGCUUAAUAAUGAUAAGGAAUAAUUCCAUAUGAAAAGUCCAUGAUCAUAAUUAGUCAGAGCCUUCGUCCUUUGAUCAUUUAAUUCGUCUAUUCACCUUCCCUAAUUUAUAUCCUACCUGUGAUUAUUUUAAUAAUCAUUUAAUUGAAACGUGAUAAAGCGAAAGCUAAUUACAAAUUAUUCAAACAUUUGUUAGGCUGACUGCCUAUUAUUUGUUCGCACGUUGAUUCGGCUUAAGUACUUGCUUGCUUGAUUAAUUGUCUUCUCACAUACCAUACGUUCACCAUUUACAUGACGACCUGCUUGUUCACCAUGAGAUUGAAUCUGAACUUGUAUCCACCGUUAAUGAAACGAUUAACGUGAUUAACUCUCAUCCAGUUUUCAUAAGAAACUUUUCUAUGAACUAUAAAAUGAGUUGGGUUGAGUUGGAAUAUAGAUUCAGCGCCUCCAGUACUUAUCUUGUAUUUUCUCUUCUUGAAGCCUGCAUCUUUGUUCAGAGAAUUCUAUUCGUCAUGAAAAAUAGGCUUCUUGAAUCAACAAAAACAGUAACCCUUGCAGUCUCAUUCAUUCUGUUGCAGUCAACUCUCUUCUCUGUUAUAAUUAAUUGAUUAUUGUGACUUAUCUGAUUUGUAAUCAUCAUUGCUCACUUGUUUAGUACCUAGUGUAUACUUGGAAGUAUUAUACAGGGUGUUUGUAAAGUCUCCAUUUGUUUCAGUUACUUGUUGAGAAUUUGUAUGCGUGAUUGAUUAUGAAAACAAAGGCCUUUUUAUGCGUAUGUCUCGUUCCAUUCUGAACCAAUGGAAAUUUGAAGUAAAUCAUGUUCAAGAUUCAAGAUGUUAUUGCUGUAUAUGGUUGUUCGUUAAGCUCAGCACAAACUAAUGACAUCGGUGAUUGUUCGAAACAAUUUGAGGAUCAAGAAAAUUGUUAUAUAUAUUUAAGUUAUGAAAUUACAUUUUAGGCUGAGUUAAUGAAAUGAUUUCAAAGGGUGAUCCUCAAAUUAUUUUGAGCAACUUAUGAUAUAAAGAAUCAACAGCUAAGAAGCUACAAUGUAUACAUAGCUAUAUAAAAAUGGGUCAUUUUAUUAUUGUUAAGCGUGUUAAAUUUAAUUUUAAAUUAACAAAUAUAUUCAUUAUUGUUUUUAAGCAAUUCACACGGAGUGGUUUAAAUAAUUAUUUUAUUCUUCUAUGGAACUCUUGAUUGUGACUGUGUACGAACACCCUGUGUACCAUUUUCAGAUCUUUCAUUUUCAUGUCUGGAAAGAAAUUCUUUUAUAGCUCGGUUUCCCUACAGCUUGUUGGGGUUUCCACACUUGCUUAACAGUGCAAGACAAUUGCAUGACACUGAAAAUCAUGGGAACAGGGCUAGCAGUAAAAGGGUCGACUUGUGGACUCUAUAGUCUGCCUAUAGAGAAGCUUUCAUGAGAAGCCUUUUUUUUUUUUGUUAGAGAAAGGAGCCUCGUGAACAAAAAUGGUGAAAGGACGUACUUAAUUGCGAGAUUGAAUCUCGUCGCUGUCCUCGUCUCCCUUCCAGUUUCUCAUUCAGAAGCACAGUGAAACCUUGAUCCAUCAUUUUUCAUACUGAAUUACCAAACAGUUUCAAAUUACAAUAAGUGUUUCAAAAUAAAUAAAAGGAUCAAAGAAGGCAAAGCGAUAAGGUGAUCAAGGUUUCACUUUGUAGUUGAACCAAAAGUCACUAUAAAGGACAUCGUCAUCUUAGUUUCUUUCCACACUCCAAAGAUGGAUAGCGAACGAGGAACACAGCACUUAUAUUUUACUUGUCAUUGGUGAUACAAAGUGUCGCCUACUUAAUACACCAGGUGUGUACAUUGCACUCUAACUUCCGUUCUUGAUUAACAGGUUUUAUAAAAAAAAAAGAAUCCUCUCAGUACUCCUCUGCUUGCAUAUGAUAAACGAGGCUUUGAGGGAUUUCUUUUUGCAUUACCUUUUAAUCACAGGAAAGAUAGCGUGCACCCAGUAAGUGUACACCUUGAUUUAAAACCGAUCUCCACUGCCAGGAUUGUGCGCGAUUGGAAAACAAAAUUGAGGACAACUAAAAGGCUAAAGAUCAUUAGAAGUUAGGUCUUUUCUGAUGGCUAAGAAUUUUUCAAGUCCAGUUGCACUUGUUGAUGAAAUACGCGUUAGCAUCAGAUGAUUUUGUUAAUUCUUUGUUGAUCAGUUUGCAACUGGACUGUUGGUCGUUUCUGAAAAUCUCAUUAAAAUUUUGCUUAACUGAUAGUAAUUUUCUAUUGUGCCUCUGAUCAGGCCUUGAAAAACUUGAGCCCAGAAAUUUGAAUGCAUUGUAAUCUGUGGAUAUAGGUGCAUUGACAAAAGUACUAUAAUUUCAGUGGGUCGUUAUUGCUGUACAUAAAUCAGCCACUUUUUGCUUGUUUUAUUUUUCACGUGCUCACCUCUUGUUUCAUUUGAAAAUCCGUUAAAUAUACAAUAUGGGACAUUCGAAGGGUUCAGUUUCCAAGUGUUCCAAUCAAUGAAUUCAACAAAAGCCAUCUUGUUCCUAUCGCUGAUCCAUUCUGUAUAGGAUUCCUCGCGGUGAGAUGGAAAAGUUAAUCAGUACGCUUCGCGAUAACGAUAUUUGUUGUGGAAAAGGUAUGCCGAGAGACUUAAUAGAGAGACUUUGGCACGUGUACAUAAAACUAUUUAACAAAGUCUCGUUGCAGAAAGAAACUAUAUUUCUAAUACGCGCAGUAGGACUGAAUAAUUGCUUGCUAUAAUUUUCUUGUCAGUAUAAAGAAAAAGAAAAUACAUAUAUAAAUCUUGUGAAAAACCCUAUGUAUUCGCAAGUUACCAUCCGGUGCAGAUAUGCGUUGAAUAUACAAUAGACAAAGAUAAAAUAUUAAACGUUUUUUAAUAUUAACGCAUUAAUAAAUUAAUCUGUUACAUUGAAACGAUGAUGAUAAUUGAUUAUAACAAUUACACGUAGGGAAUAUAACAUUUAUAUAUUUAUAUAUAUUUAUAUAUACCAUACAUACAUAUAUAUAUAUAUAUAUACACAUAUAAAUAUAUAUUAUUAAUUUUUAAUUAAUUAUUAUUAGCGACUAUUAUUAUUGUUAUUAUUAUAAAAUAAAGUUUAAGACACGUUAUUCGAAUGUUAUUUGAUUAAAGCCGAUCAGUAGAGGGCAUACAAACAUUUCCAAGUAUCUUCACUACAAUUGCUUUCUAAGUACAGAUUUCAAAAUUGAAAAAUGGUAGCACAAAAAUAUAGUCAGACAGUGCAGAAGAUUAAUUUCUUUUUACCAAAUGGUGAAAAUUAUUUGAAUCACUCAGAGUGGAGAAGGUCUGCAGAAAUAAAACAGAACUCUGAUUCUUAAUGGCAAUUGUAGCUCGUCUGUAAAUUUGUCUCUGGAUCGUUUUCUAUUUGCCUUAAAUGUAUCAUUGUAACUACUACUCCAAGCGUUGUUAAAUGAUAUUUUUUUACUCACUCUUAUAUUCUGAUAAUGUUACAAAGGUAUGGAAUGUUAAGGAGAGUAUGGAAAGUUAGUCUUUUAGAGUCAGAGAGUACAGCAAAAAGAAUUUUAUUUUUUGUUUGCUUCUCACUUUAAAUUAAAUUUCACACUAUACGCUUGCACCUGUAAGGCUCUGAACAAAAGUCACCUUGGCUCUUCAAACUUCAUUUUCACUCUGGUUCUUAGCUACUACGUUCCCGUACUAAAUUCGUUAUAAGACAUUGCAUGUCAUUAAUUAUUAAUAUUAAAGGAACAUUCGAGUACCUAAUAAUAAUUCAAAAUUAAGAUCAAAGUGAAAAUGCUACUUAAAAUGAUAUAUGCACAUAUUGAUAGAAGUAUUUCUGUGGUGCUUGGCUUAUAUUAGAUAACAUAUUCUCUUGCACACAAACUCACAAUGUUCUUUCAAAGACAAAAUGAAUACUCAGGUUUACCUUCACACAAUAUUUUCAUUCCUUUUUAUGAAUGAAGAUUAUAUCAACUGUUCUUAGAGAAUAAAUUAAUCAUUAAUCAAUGUCAA
Molecule: non-coding RNA, 9645 nt
Organism: Osmia lignaria (orchard mason bee)
Lineage: Eukaryota; Metazoa; Arthropoda; Insecta; Hymenoptera; Megachilidae
Source: RefSeq, a predicted model, not a curated record